This is a long non-coding RNA of Oncorhynchus tshawytscha (Chinook salmon), 2185 nucleotides long. The record is from Ensembl. Lineage: Eukaryota; Metazoa; Chordata; Actinopteri; Salmoniformes; Salmonidae.
GUUAAAAUUGACCACAAAGUGUAAAUAGGAUAGUUUUGGUCAUAAUGUCAGUCUCAUCCAAAAUCAGAGAUUUGCGAGAUAAUAGAAAAAAUGUUAUGUCACGGAAUGAAGGGUGCCCUAACAGAAUGAAGGGUACCCUAACAGUUUUCCUUGAGUUGGGUUUAUUUCAAUGUGGUUUGACAUUUUAAAUCCCUAUGGGGCUAGUUAAGGACCAUCAGUAAAUUACACAAUGUACAUGGAACAAUCAUUUAAAAUAUUAAUAGCUCCAAAUUUUAAAAGAAGAAGAAAAUGUACUACUUUAAAAUGAAGAUAGCCUGGGCAGCACCUUUUAGGCUGUCACAGACACUAUAAUGGCACAAAUACAAAGAUGAGUCCAUCUAUCACUAUGGCCUCUUGUUCGCACACGUAUCUGCCCUCUCAUUGGCUAGAAUGGUUCCACCUGAUCUCGCCUACUCCCACCUGCUUUCUGUCUUUGAGGACAUGUAUUUCCAUUGUUAGAGCGGUCAAUCGACUAUCUUGUCAAUAUAAUAGACAAUCUUUGCUACGUGGGAACACACACACAAAAGACACCCACUUUAGCCCCCCCGUUUGGCUUCAGUCAUGGUCUUCUUAAUGACCAAGCCAAAAAAUGAGGCCAAAUCAGGAACUUCAUCUCCCCUUUAAACAGACUGAAUGCAUGUUUCCAGAGAAUAUAAAACCAGGCUCUUGUCUACAUACUAACAGUUGAUUGUUUUACUAAAUUGACGGGAAGGAUCCAAACAAUGUAAUGUAUGUAUUGUAGUUUUGGAUUAUUUAAUCUUAUCAAUUUCAAUUGAACCAAAGGGUUUCAUUUACAGUAAUGGAAUAUCAUGUUAUGAUUGGAUCUUGAAUUGUAUUCAGAGCUGGGAUUGUAGUGAGGAUAAAAGCUGCCGUGACUGACUCUUCAUGGGGAGACAUGACCUGAUUCUAACUCAGCACAUGGAGACAGAGAUAAUGAAUAGAGAUAUACAUUAAUUAGAUGGAAUCUGCCUGUGGAGGAAAGUGGAUUGAAGGGAUCGGAGACCAGAAGUCUGGAUUAGAGAUGAAAUAGAGGAAUGGAUCUGAAUUAGAUUACAACUGAAAGGGAUUGAAUGAACUCUUCCUUGAACAAUACCAAGGUGAGGAGGGAAGGAAUCGAGGUGAGAAGAGAAGGAAUGGAGGUGAGAAGGGAAGGAAUCGAGGUGAGACGGGAAGGAAUGGAGGUGAGGGAAUUUUGUGGAUGUUGAAGUGGAAUUGAUUUGAUGGAAUUGUCCUGAUUGGUUUAUGUGGAUACCAGUCCAAAUGACAACCAGGGUCCUGAUAUAAUUUGUUUUUGUUUUUGUUUCAUACAGUGCGAUCUAAAUCAACUUAGGGGGUGAAAUGAUUACUGGUUGCUAAAGAAUACACUAUAGUGUGCAUACAGUAGAACAAAACCUUCUCCUGUUGGGUUUUGAAGAUGUGACUCCUAGUUAUCUCCUGUUGGGUUUUGAAGAGGUGACUCCUAGUUAUCUCCUGUUGGGUUUUGAAGAGGUGACUCCUAGUUAUCUCCUGUUGGGUUUUGAAGAGGUGACUCCUAGUUUUCUCCUACUGGGUUUUGAAGAGGUGACCCCUAGUUAUCUCCUGUUGGGUUUUGAAGAGGUGACCCCUAGUUAUCUCCUGUUGGGUUUUGAAGAGGUGACUCCUAGUUUUCUCCUACUGGGUUUUGAAGAGGUGACUCCUAGUUAUCUCCUGUUGGGUUUUGAAGAGGUGACUCCUACUGGGUUUUGAAGAGGUGACUCCUAGUUAUCUCCUGUUGGGUUUUGAAGAGGUGACUCCUACUGGGUUUUGAAGAGGUGACUCCUAGUUAUCUCCUGUUGGGUUUUGAAGAGGUGACUCCUAGUAAUCCAAUAGAUCAUACAAUAUUCUUGGUAGCCUACAUGCAAAGCUGUCCUUUUUCUUUCAGUUGUAUUUGAAUGGUCUGGUAUGAGGUUGUGUGUCAUAGGAAGAGAUAGUUCUGAUUGUUAGUGUAUACAGCACUGCCUUUAUCAGACUCAUAUUAGUCAUACUGACUAGCAGCAGUCAUUUAGUAUAAAUAACUCUUACUGUCAUCUUUGUAAUGGCUGUUUGUUUUAUAGGUGUGUGUGUGUGUGUGUGUGUGUGUGUGUGUGUGUGUGUGUGUGUGUGUGUGUGUGUGUGUGUGUGUGUGUGU